RNAcentral lists this ribosomal RNA (427 nucleotides) under Variovorax paradoxus. RNAcentral describes it as "partial 16S ribosomal RNA". It matches the Rfam family "Bacterial small subunit ribosomal RNA", at positions 355 to 774 of the family's 1533-position model. The record is from RNAcentral. RNAcentral also lists the same sequence under 2 other names. Lineage: Bacteria; Pseudomonadati; Pseudomonadota; Betaproteobacteria; Burkholderiales; Comamonadaceae.
UGGGGAAUUUUGGACAAUGGGCGCAAGCCUGAUCCAGCAAUGCCGCGUGAGUGAAGAAGGCCUUCGGGUUGUAAAGCUCUUUUGUCAGGGAAGAAACGGUGAGGGCUAAUAUCCUUUGCUAAUGACGGUACCUGAAGAAUAAGCACCGGCUAACUACGUGCCAGCAGCCGCGGUAAUACGUAGGGUGCAAGCGUUAAUCGGAAUUACUGGGCGUAAAGCGUGCGCAGGCGGUUAUGUAAGUCAGAUGUGAAAUCCCCGGGCUCAACCUGGGAAUGGCAUUUGAGACUGCAUGGCUAGAGUGUGUCAGAGGGGGGUAGAAUUCCACGUGUAGCAGUGAAAUGCGUAGAGAUGUGGAGGAAUACCGAUGGCGAAGGCAGCCCCCUGGGAUAACACUGACGCUCAUGCACGAAAGCGUGGGGAGCAAACA